Molecule: long non-coding RNA, 1677 nt
Organism: Passer domesticus (house sparrow)
Lineage: Eukaryota; Metazoa; Chordata; Aves; Passeriformes; Passeridae
Exons: 3
Source: RefSeq, a predicted model, not a curated record
GGGGGUCUCCAACAGACGAGGCCUCGCCGGCCAGAUGGGGAGACUCGUCUGCCGCUCGCCGGGGCCACAAAGGAGGGUCCCCUGGCAGCAGCUGGUCCCAAGGAAGAGGUGAAGGAAUGCAUAAGGGAAGAGCCCGCAUGAGAUGAAAGAAACUUUGUAGGGACUAAUUAUGCCCCAAAGCAGAGAGAAACACUCUAAAGGACUUGGAGAUCCCAGUGAUUCUAAAGUCAGGAGCCCUGACGAACGCCGCUGGCAUGCCUGGAAGCUGCGGCUCACUCCUGCGUGCCAGCCCCGGCCGGAGCCUCCGCCCUCCGCCCUCCAUCCCAGCGCCUGCCCUACAGCUCCGCGGCACGGGAAUUGUGCUCGUGGUAUCCUGUGAGGGUCACAUCGAGCUGGAACCACUCCGUGUGCUGGGCUCCCGGUGCUCACCGUGUGCCCUGGGACAGGAAAAGGCUAAAAAGAAGUGGAGAAGCCUGGGGGAGCCAAGCCUGUGGGAAAACCCCGAAACAGCAGCACUUCUGCUUGGGGGGCACUGAGACCUCCAAGAACAUCCUGGCGUGUCCAAAUUUCUCAGCCACAGCUCUUGCCAGGCCCAGCUGUGCAGAGGAGCCAGCAAAUGGUUCCUGUCUUUGAUUAAACCUGGAGCCAAGGCCCCCAGUGCUGGAGCCAAGCUCCCAGUCCCUCACCAGUCUGUCAGCCCUAUUUGUCCCCUCCUGAUGGACCCUGCUCAGGGUAAGCCUCCCAGUUUGGGACCAGGGUCUUAAGGGCACUUUGGAUUCCCUGUUUCCAUUAGAAGACACCACCUGCAGUACUCGCCUGGGGUCUCUAUCCCACAAAAGUUGUCAUAGGAAUACUAAUAUUGAUGUGUCAUAGGAAUAUGAAUUGCUGAAGCAGGGGGUCCCACAGCCAGGCAGAAGUGGUGGCUGGGGACAUGCUGUCUGCUGGGGUCACUGAGCAUCAGCCUCGCUGCACUCACAGGGUGAGGCUGUUUCCCCAAAGUAGAUGAAGUCAGAGUGCUGUUACCUGGAUCCAAGGACCACGGUGCUUUCUCCAUCCCAGCAGCAGGACAGGGAAAGGCUUUGGAACCAUCUGGAUGGCUUCCAUGCAUCCAGGCCAUGCUUAUCAGCAUCCGUGCCUCGGGCACAGAGCUGAGAAAUGAAAGGGAACAACCCAAACGGAGCGCUGAGUUCUGCUGCACUGAGAAAUAUUUAGUGAUCCCACUGCUGGCUCAGAUGGGAAUGGGCCCUUAGAGGCUGAAUUAUCAAAAGCAGCUCUUGGGAAUGAAAAAAAGCUGGAUAAAUUGCUGAUUGCAGCUGCCUGGCUGGAAAUAAAGUGAGUGCUCCCAGGGCAUGUGGCUCAGGGGGAAUGAGCUCUGUGUCCACUUGAGGACCGAAAGACCAAAUUCCCCUUGUUGUUCUCAAACCAAGAGGCACUGGCAGCCAGAGAGGGGCUGGACAGGGGAUGGGAUCAGAGGAGAAUAUCCUUGGGGUGAUGUAGAAGUGCUUGCCACAGUGAGCAGCGCUGUACUGCAAAGGCAAAGUGUCACUUAAACCCCGGUCAUUUUAGUGAAGAGAAAAUCAGGAAUAUGUAAAGAGCCUGUUUUGUAAAGAAAUAACCUUCAGGGUUUCCUCUGCUGCAACCUCAAGAAAUUCCACAGCUGCUCCUGCGUGGGAGGGA